Molecule: non-coding RNA, 92 nt
Organism: Macaca mulatta (Rhesus monkey)
Lineage: Eukaryota; Metazoa; Chordata; Mammalia; Primates; Cercopithecidae
Source: Rfam
AGGAGGUGGUCGAGGGAAUCUGAGAAGGCGCACAAGGUUUGUGUCCAAUACAGUCCACACCUUGCGCUACUCAGGUCUGCUCGUGCCCUCCC